Molecule: non-coding RNA, 170 nt
Filed under: pig gut metagenome
Source: RNAcentral
UUAUCAUUGCGCUGAGGUUAAAAGGGAAACAGGUGUGAAUCCUGUGCGAUCUCGUCACCGUAUUUGGGAAGCAUAAAAGCGUUAAAGUUACUGAAGUAACUUGGUCACUGAGAAAUUGGGAAGGCUGCUUUUGUGUGAUGAUCCGUAAGUCGGGAAACCUGCCGUUUGUC